AGAAACUAUGAAGAUUGGUAAGAAAGAACCAAAAGCCUUCAUUAAAUUUAAUAUUUAUUAGUAAAACAAGGGCAAAAGUCUUCCUGCAUUCAAAACUUCUAAUUUCCAAAGCAUUGCUAGGAUUCUUCUCAACAAAAGAAAAGUAAAGCAGUUUUCUGACUCAUUGUAGGGCAAAUCAAACCAGAAAAAGGAACAUUUGAAAAAGCUCUGAUCCGAAGUGCUGUUUCUUCUAUCCUGACUGCCAACCUCAUGAUCCCUUCGCUGCACAAUUCACUCUUGAGGUGCCAGUGGGAACCCCUCCCUCUUGCCCAGCCCCUGGGUGUUUUCCCAACUAGCUGCACCCCCUCUCCUCUUGAAAGCCACUGCUCCCCGGAGGACAAGAACCAGGGUGAAGCUUGGAAACCCAAUUCCAUUCUCUGACUCCCUGACCCAAGAGCCAGCUGAGCAGAUUUCUUCUGAGCUUGGCAUAAGCUGGCUCUGUCCCACACAGCAAGUCACACGCAAGCAGGUUUUCUGAGAGCCCAGCCCACAUGAAACACUCUCUGCACGUCCAUGAGCCCUGCAGAGGGCCAGCACAUGGCUUUGAGACCUACGGUCACAUGAUGAACACAGUCUACCAUCAAGGACAGACCCAGGAGCAACUUCCUACUCUCUGGGAGGGACACAGGAGAGCCAAAAGAGUCCCUCGCAGGCAGGAAUCCCGGCAGACACCUCUCUGGCCUGAGUCUAAAGACAACGCAGACCUAUCAGAGGGUUGGAUAAGAAAUAAGAG
Molecule: long non-coding RNA, 772 nt
Organism: Manis pentadactyla (Chinese pangolin)
Lineage: Eukaryota; Metazoa; Chordata; Mammalia; Pholidota; Manidae
Exons: 4
Source: RefSeq, a predicted model, not a curated record